ACGGAUUAGUGGCGCACGGGUGAGUAACGCAUAGAUGACAUGCCCUUUAGUUUGGGAUAGCCACUAGAAAUGGUGAUUAAUACCAAAUACCACCCUACGGGGGAAAGAUUUAUCGCUAAAGGAUUGGUCUAUGUCCUAUCAGCUUGUUGGCGGGGUAAGAGCCCACCAAGGCAAUGACGGGUAUCCGGCCUGAGAGGGUGAACGGACACACUGGAACUGAGACACGGUCCAGACUCCUACGGGAGGCAGCAGUAGGGAAUAUUGCUCAAUGGGCGCAAGCCUGAAGCAGCAACGCCGCGUGGAGGAUGAAGGUUUUAGGAUUGUAAACUCCUUUUGUGAGAGAAGAUA
RNAcentral lists this ribosomal RNA (348 nucleotides) under uncultured Helicobacter sp. Its description in RNAcentral is "bacterial SSU rRNA". It matches the Rfam family "Bacterial small subunit ribosomal RNA", at positions 87 to 450 of the family's 1533-position model. The record is from RNAcentral. Lineage: Bacteria; Pseudomonadati; Campylobacterota; Epsilonproteobacteria; Campylobacterales; Helicobacteraceae.